Molecule: ribosomal RNA, 497 nt
Filed under: uncultured bacterium
Lineage: Bacteria
Description: partial 16S ribosomal RNA
Rfam family: Bacterial small subunit ribosomal RNA
Source: RNAcentral
GACGAACGCUGGCGGCGUGCCUAAUACAUGCAAGUUGAGCGCUGAAGGUUGGUACUUGUACCAACUGGAUGAGCAGCGAACGGGUGAGUAACGCGUGGGGAAUCUGCCUUUGAGCGGGGGACAACAUUUGGAAACGAAUGCUAAUACCGCAUAAAAACUUUAAACACAAGUUUUAAGUUUGAAAGAUGCAAUUGCAUCACUCAAAGAUGAUCCCGCGUUGUAUUAGCUAGUUGGUGAGGUAAAGGCUCACCAAGGCGAUGAUACAUAGCCGACCUGAGAGGGUGGUCGGCCACAUUGGGACUGAGACACGGCCCAAACUCCUUCGGGAGGCAGCAGUAGGGCAUCUUCGGCAAUGGACGAAAGUCUGACCGAGCAACGCCGCGUGAGUGAAGAAGGUUUUCGGAUCGUAAAACUCUGUUGGUAGGGAAGAACGUUGGUGAGAGUGGAAAGCUCAUCAAGUGACGGUAACUACCCAGAAAGGGACGGCUAACUACGUG